AUGUUCACGCAGCAGGUGCAUUAUCACCAGCGAGGUCAAUCCAAGGCAUGAUAUUUGCUCACUGAAAACUUUUUCUAGUAUCCUGCCCUGAUGAUUAGAAAUACAGUCAGUGUUGGCAAUUUUUGACAGUCUCUAAGGAGA
Apteryx haastii (Great spotted kiwi) is the source of this 141-nucleotide small nuclear RNA. Its record names the gene U4. It matches the Rfam family "U4 spliceosomal RNA". From Rfam's summary of the family: U4 small nuclear RNA (U4 snRNA) is a component of the major U2-dependent spliceosome. The structure of U4 snRNA from yeast and human has been reported. U4 snRNA presents a k-turn RNA motif in the 5p-SL related to recognition of Snu13 protein. NCBI's taxonomy places the organism in Eukaryota, Metazoa, Chordata, Aves, Apterygiformes, Apterygidae. The record is from Ensembl.